AUGUUCACUUUGGCAGCAUACACGCUAACACUGGAGGGGUACAGAGAAGACUAGCUUGGCUCCUGCUCAAGGGGGACAUGAAAAUUUAUGCAGAGUUCCAUAAAGAA
This is a small nuclear RNA of Nycticebus coucang (slow loris), 107 nucleotides long. Lineage: Eukaryota; Metazoa; Chordata; Mammalia; Primates; Lorisidae. The record is from RefSeq and is a predicted model, not a curated record.